GACGAACGCUGGCGGCGUGCUUAACACAUGCCAGUCGAACGGAAAGGCCCUGCUUUUGUGGGGUGCUCGAGUGGCGAACGGGUGAGUAACACGUGAGUAACCUGCCCUUGACUUGGGGAUAACUUCAGGAAACUGGGGCUAAUACCGGCUAGGAGCUCCUGCUGCAGGGUGGGGGUUGGAAAGUUUCGGCGGUUGGGGAUGGACGCGCGGCUUAUCAGCUUGUUGGUGGGGUAGUGGCUUACGAAGGCUUUGACGGGUAGCCGGCCUGAGAGGGUGACCGGCCACAUUGGGACUGAGAUACGGCCCAGACUCGUACGGGAGGCAGCAGUGGGGAAUAUUGCACAAUGGGCGGAAGCCUGAUGCAGCAACGCCGCGUGCGGGAUGACGGCCUUCGGGUUGUAAACCGCUUUCGCCUGUGACGAAGCGUGAGUGACGGUAAUGGGUAAAGAAGCACCGGCUAACUACGUG
RNAcentral lists this ribosomal RNA (468 nucleotides) under uncultured bacterium. RNAcentral's name for it is "partial 16S ribosomal RNA". It matches the Rfam family "Bacterial small subunit ribosomal RNA", at positions 28 to 507 of the family's 1533-position model. The record is from RNAcentral.